Molecule: long non-coding RNA, 1115 nt
Filed under: Homo sapiens (human)
Lineage: Eukaryota; Metazoa; Chordata; Mammalia; Primates; Hominidae
Description: HSALNT0030386
Source: RNAcentral
AUAAUUCUCAGCUAAAGGAAGCAUACUGAACACAAUGUUGUAGAUGCAGCACUGAGGUGGCAUCUACAAGACCAUUCUCAGCUACCAGUAGGAGACUGCUAUUUAGGUAAGUAGGAAAAUUUGUUUAAAGUUGGCAACUAAAAAGCUCAGGGAGUUGUAGGGUAUCAGAGGGUUUCUUUUUUCCUUUUCUUCAGUUUCUAAGAGGAAUACUGGGCCAGGACAGUCUUGUCUGGGUAGGCUAUUAAUACAGUUUGGAUGUGUGUCCCUGCCCAACUCUCAUACUGAAAUGUAACCCCCAGUGUUGGAAGUGGGCUUGGUGAGAGGUGAUUGUAUCAUGAGGGUGAAUUUCUCGUGAAUGGUUUAGCACCAUCCCUUUUGCUACUGUCCCACCAAGUGAUAGUGAUGGUGAGUGAGUUCUCAUGAAUUCUGGCUGUUUAAAAGUGCGUAGCGCCUCCCGUCUCUCUGUCUUGCUCCUGCUGCGCCCUGUGACAUGCCUGCUUCCCCUUCGCCUUCCACCAUAAUUGUAAGUUUCCUGAGGCCUCCUCAGAGGCUGAGCAGAUGCCAGCAUCGUGCUUCCUGUACAGCCUGCAGAACCGUGAUCCAAUUAAACCUCUUUACUUUACAAAUUACCCAGUCUCAGCUAUUCUUUAUAGCAAUGUGAGAACGGCCUAACACAGCUACUGACCAGGCCUGGCUUGCUACUCCCUGGAAUUUUACAAAGCACUUUUUCUACCCUUCCAUCCCUCUCUUCUCCAUCUUGCAAUGUACCUCCUUUUUUCUUUUUUUUCCCUUUUUCAGAAGUAAGGAAGGGAAGAAGGGAGACGUCAGAGAAGGGUGGGGUGGAGAGGAGAGAUAGAGAAUCAUGGGAGGAAGAGGAAGGGGGACUAGCUGGGUAAGAGUGAUGUGAUUAGAGGCCUAUAGAAAAGAGGAAGAAAAAAAUAAAAAGAAGCAGAGUUUUUUUGGGUUACAGCAAGGAUUGGAGCUCUAACUUGGUGACUUAAGGUAGGUUCCUUUAUGCUUUCAGCACCGCAAGUUUAACAAACAGAAAAGAGAUGGUCUGGUUGAUCUGAACUUACUUGAAUAUUUCCCCAGGGUCAAAUGAGAGUAAACUCGUG